AAGUAUGAAGCGAUUUAUUGCAAUUAGUUUCGACCUAAUUUUAGAUUUUAUUAUCCUUACUUU
This 63-nucleotide transfer RNA is filed under the name Stenobiella sp. YW-2016. Its description in RNAcentral is "tRNA-Arg". Lineage: Eukaryota; Metazoa; Arthropoda; Insecta; Neuroptera; Berothidae. The record is from RNAcentral.